GUAAGUUAACUGUAAUGAACUAUCUAAAUUUGUAAUAAUUGUUUUAAAUAUUAGUUGACCUGAAUUUUAUUAAUUUUACGCUUACAGUCGACACCUUUCAAUUGAAGAUUAUAUUUAAAUUAUGUCACUUGACUCAAUCAACAAGCUUUCAUUGAAUCUCUUCAUGUUAAUGUGUUACCAUUGGCUUCGUGGUAAUUGAAAAUCAAACAAACUUGUGAUUUACCAUGAAUCUGAUGAAAUUUUAUCAAACCCUUGAAGAGUAUUAAUUCACAAGCUAUUUAAGGUAAUCCUUUAAUCAACUUUACACUUGGUUAAUCUGCAAUUGUUCAUCAAUUGGAUCCUUUUGUGUUCUGUUUAUUUUAGUUGGACAAUGUUUGCUAAAGAAACUCAACAUUUGCUUGCUCACAAAUUACAAUUAACACUUUCAUCUUCUCACUUCAAAAAAAACAUCUCCAUCUAAACUCUACUUCGGUAAAUAAAUAACAUUGUGUAUGUGUGUAAAGAAACGAUGUGAAUUUAAUCAUGAAAUUAUUAAAUAGAUUUAUCAACAUCAUUAAUUCCAGUGAAAACAGUAAUAUUUGUGGUUGAAAGUUAGCUCAACAUCUCAUGGUUAAUAAAAAUGGCAAUAAACUUCUGAGAAACAAAGACAAAAGCUCAGUCAGCAACAUGUGAUUGCAUUUCGAUAAAUUUUACUGGAAAAAUCAACAGACCGAGAUAUUGAAAGACAAGCUUGUUGACAGGAAUUGCAUGUGUCAGUAUCCAUGUUAUAAGAAUACAAGUUGGAACAAGACAGAAACAUGAUGACUGCUGUUUACUGUGAAGAGAUGCAAAAGGGUUAAAUCCAUUUUUUUGUGCCGAUUCAUGGUGAUGAAAGAUUACAAGCUAACAAAAUGGUUACAUGAAAGUAAUUUAUAUUGCUGAUGCACAACUCAAGUCUCCCCUGGUUUUAAUUGUAAUCAAUCAACAAACAAACAAUGAACAAAACUAAUGGACACAAUUGUCAACAUCAUCAACAACAGCUACAUCUACUAUUAACACAGUUUCCACUUGUGUGUUCACUUUGGUGACUG
Tetranychus urticae (two-spotted spider mite) is the source of this 1070-nucleotide non-coding RNA. Lineage: Eukaryota; Metazoa; Arthropoda; Arachnida; Trombidiformes; Tetranychidae. The record is from RefSeq and is a predicted model, not a curated record.